This 506-nucleotide ribosomal RNA is filed under the name uncultured bacterium. RNAcentral's name for it is "partial 16S ribosomal RNA". It matches the Rfam family "Bacterial small subunit ribosomal RNA", at positions 30 to 523 of the family's 1533-position model. The record is from RNAcentral.
AUUGAACGCUGGCGGCAGGCCUAACACAUGCAAGUCGAACGGUAACAGGAAACAGCUUGCUGUUUCGCUGACGAGUGGCGGACGGGUGAGUAAUGUCUGGGAAACUGCCUGAUGGAGGGGGAUAACUACUGGAAACGGUAGCUAAUACCGCAUAACGUCGCAAGACCAAAGAGGGGGACCUUCGGGCCUCUUGCCAUCGGAUGUGCCCAGAUGGGAUUAGCUUGUUGGUGGGGUAACGGCUCACCAAGGCGACGAUCCCUGGCUGGCCUGAGAGGAUGACCAGCCACACUGGAACUGGGACACGGUCCAGACUCCUACGGGAGGCAGCAGUGGGGAAUAUUGCACAAUGGGCGCAAGCCUGAUUCAGCCAUGCCGCGUGUAUGAAGAAGGCCUUCGGGUUGUAAAGUACUUUCAGCGGGGAGGAAGGUGUUGAGGUUAAUAACCUCAGCAAUUGACGUUACCCGCAGAAGAAGCACCGGCUAACUCCGUGCCAGCCGCCGCCGUAA